Molecule: ribosomal RNA, 468 nt
Filed under: uncultured bacterium
Lineage: Bacteria
Description: partial 16S ribosomal RNA
Rfam family: Bacterial small subunit ribosomal RNA
Source: RNAcentral
GACGAACGCUGGCGGCGUGCUUAACACAUGCAAGUCGAACGGAAAGGCCCUGCUUUUGUGGGGUGCUCGAGUGGCGAACGGGUGAGUAACACGUGAGUAACCUGCCCUUGACUUUGGGAUAACUUCAGGAAACUGGGGCUAAUACCGGAUAGGAGCUCCUGCUGCAUGGUGGGGGUUGGAAAGUUUCGGCGGUUGGGGAUGGACUCGCGGCUUAUCAGCUUGUUGGUGGGGUAGUGGCUUACCAAGGCUUUGACGGGUAGCCGGCCUGAGAGGGUGACCGGGCAGAAGGGGGGAGUGGUGCGCAGGAGGCGCCAGCCGGAGGCAGCAGGGGGGGGUGCGGAACGAAGGGCGGAGGCUUGAUACCGCACCGCCGCGGUGGGGAGGACGGGGUUAGGGUUGUAAACAGCGAUCGCCAGUGAAGACGCGUGAGUGACGGUAAUGUAAAAAGAAGCACCGGCAAACUACGAG